Long non-coding RNA from Hypanus sabinus (Atlantic stingray), 656 nucleotides. RefSeq lists it as uncharacterized. The record is from RefSeq and is a predicted model, not a curated record. The transcript has 3 exons. NCBI's taxonomy places the organism in Eukaryota, Metazoa, Chordata, Chondrichthyes, Myliobatiformes, Dasyatidae.
UGGGUGUAACCUUCAGCUCCUGUCACUAUGACAUCCAUCCAGAUCCUCAUGGUCUCAGCAGAUGGUGCCACCAUGUAGAAGAUUCUGUCCCGGGUCUUCACGCUGAAGGUUGAGAAAGUCUGCAGAUGCUGGAAAUCCAAGCAACACCCACAAAAUGCUGGAGGAACUCAGCAGGCCAGGCAGCAUCUGUGGAAAGGAGUAAACAGUCCAUAUGUUGGGCUGAGACCACUUCCUCAAGACUGAGGAUUUGAAUUUGUUCAUAUUGUACUGUGUUGCUGCAAAAGAAAAACUAAUUUUUGUGACAUUUCUACCUUGGUAACAGAUAAGGAAAGAAGAAGGACAAAGAAGAUAAAGAAGGAGCCUCCCAUAUACUUACCUUAUCCCAGCCUGAUCUUGAGGUAAAUAUCUGGUAAGUUCUUUCUUCUUCCCUCUCAUGUUUGUAACUGCAGCUAAUUUCCAUGCCCAUGGCAGUAAAUCUGAAGUUGAACAUGUCUUUCUGUGACAUUUCCAUCGUUUUGUCUCUACCGUGCUUGCUACAGACUUGAGUUAUCAUGUUGCCUCCUCUGACCUCAUGCCAAACUGGCAAGCAUUUGGCUAUUCUUCCUGGCCAAGAUUCACAUUUAACUGUCAUUCAACCAUACAUGAAUAUAGCCAAA